This 341-nucleotide long non-coding RNA is filed under the name Selaginella moellendorffii. RNAcentral's name for it is "long non-coding RNA (SMOE_LNC001833)". Lineage: Eukaryota; Viridiplantae; Streptophyta; Lycopodiopsida; Selaginellales; Selaginellaceae. The record is from RNAcentral.
UUGGGUCCAUUCCUCCGGUCGAGAGAAUGCAAAGCCGUUGCGCUCGUCCUCGUAUGGCACCAGGUGCAGAGAUGCAGGAGAUUUAAGCCUUGCCACAUCUGCCGCAAGAACUUUUACUCGAGUUUUUUGUGUAAGAACAUACCGCCCAAUGCUAGUGCUUGGUGGAGAAGAGGGAAGAAGAGCAGCGACGUUGGCGAGGAGGAGCAAGCGAGCAAGACCGAGCGGCGUUUACACCUUUUCACUUGUGGUUCGUUCCUGCUGCAAGCUGUGACCAGCUUGGAUGUCAAUCCCAUGAAACGCAACACACUCAUUUCUCUCUCUCUCUUAUAAAAAUCACAUUU